AGUUAGCUGACGAGUCCCAAAAUAGGACGAAAAGCACAUUAUCCUGGAU
RNAcentral lists this non-coding RNA (49 nucleotides) under Trichobilharzia regenti. The record is from RNAcentral. Lineage: Eukaryota; Metazoa; Platyhelminthes; Trematoda; Strigeidida; Schistosomatidae.